UACGGAGGGGGCUAGCGUUGUUCGGAAUUACUGGGCGUAAAGCGUGCGUAGACGGUCAUGUAAGUCGGGUGUGAAAGCCCCGGGCUCAACCUGGGAAUUGCAUUCGAGACUGCAUGGCUAGGGUGCGGAAGAGGGAAGCGGAAUUUCCGGUGUAGCGGUGAAAUGCGUAGAUAUCGGAAGGAACACCAGUGGCGAAAGCGGCUUCCUGGUCCAGCACCGACGUUCAGGCACGAAAGCGUGGGGAGCAAACAGG
Molecule: ribosomal RNA, 253 nt
Filed under: uncultured bacterium
Lineage: Bacteria
Description: partial 16S ribosomal RNA
Rfam family: Bacterial small subunit ribosomal RNA
Source: RNAcentral